RNAcentral lists this ribosomal RNA (431 nucleotides) under uncultured bacterium. RNAcentral's name for it is "partial 16S ribosomal RNA". It matches the Rfam family "Bacterial small subunit ribosomal RNA", at positions 29 to 507 of the family's 1533-position model. The record is from RNAcentral.
AGCGAACGCUGGCGGCAGGCUUAACACAUGCAAGUCGAGCGCACCGCCAGGGCUGCGGCAGACGGGAGGGUACCACGUGGGAACAUACCCUUUGGUUCGGAACAACUGAGGGAAACUUCAGCCAAUACGGGAUAAGCCCUAACGGGGAAAGAUUGAUCGCGGAAAGAUUGGCGCGCGUCUGAUUAGCUGGUGGGUGGGGUGACGGCUCACCAAGGCAACGAUCAGUAGCUGGUCUGAGAGGAUGAUCCGCCUCACUGGGACUGGGACACGGGCCAGACUACUACGCGAGGGAGGAGAGGGUAAUAUAGGACAAUGGGGGCAACCCUGAUCCAGCCAUGCCGCGUGAGUGAUGAAGGCCUUAGGGAUGUAAAGUUCUUUGGCCCGGGAAGAUAAUGACGGUACCGGGAGAAUAAGCACCGGCUAACUUCGUG